Molecule: ribosomal RNA, 484 nt
Filed under: uncultured bacterium
Lineage: Bacteria
Description: partial 16S ribosomal RNA
Rfam family: Bacterial small subunit ribosomal RNA
Source: RNAcentral
AUUGAACGCUGGCGGCAGGCCUAACACAUGCAAGUCGAGCGGAUGAAGGGAGCUUGCUCCUGGAUUCAGCGGCGGACGGGUGAGUAAUGCCUAGGAAUCUGCCUGGUAGUGGGGGAUAACGUCCGGAAACGGGCGCUAAUACCGCAUACGUCCUGAGGGAGAAAGUGGGGGAUCUUCGGACCUCACGCUAUCAGAUGAGCCUAGGUCGGAUUAGCUAGUUGGUGGGGUUAAGGCCUACCAAGGCGACGAUCCGUAACUGGUCUGAGAGGAUGAUCAGUCACACUGGAACUGGGACACGGUCCAGACUCCUACGGGAGGCAGCAGUGGGGAAUAUUGGACAAUGGGCGAAAGCCUGAUCCAGCCAUGCCGCGUGUGUGAAGAAGGUCUUCGGAUUGUAAAGCACUUUAAGUUGGGAGGAAGGGCAGUAAGUUAAUACCUUGCUGUUUUGACGUUACCAACAGAAUAAGCACCGGCUAACUUCGUG